UCUAGAAGUAGCGUCUAGAAACGUGGUGCACCUUCACAAGGCCCCAAACCGCGAAUAAGAUUGUUUCAGAACAUUGCCAGUAGUCUAUUUCCCCCGUGAUGAAGACAGCCCUAGUUGCCACGUGUUUUGUGCUGCUGUGUCUUGUGUCUCAAGAGAAUGUAAAAGCGCGUCACACGGACUCUAAGCACAUUGCGUACCAGCACCACCCGGAACCGGAACAUGAGGAACACGGACACGGCGGACACGGACACGGGGAUCAUGAAAGAGAGCAUCACUCCUCCCAAAACCAAGCGCCCCCACGGAAACCCGCAAUGAGGGCCCCGCUUCCAUCUCCCCCUUUCGUGAAGGCGGCGCCUUCACGUGCAAGUAGCACCUAAAGACACGUGGUGGCCACGCCCUCAGCUCACAGGCAAAAAAACGAGGCGAUUAUAGGAAUAUGGUUACAAAAGAAAUUUCAUGCAUGUUGAAGAUAAUGUAUGGAUGAGAAAAGAAUGUUCAGACUCAAUAAGGAUGUAUGUAAAACACGGGCGAAAUAAAAGGCACAUUCAACUAA
This is a long non-coding RNA of Nematostella vectensis (starlet sea anemone), 553 nucleotides long. RefSeq lists it as uncharacterized. Lineage: Eukaryota; Metazoa; Cnidaria; Anthozoa; Actiniaria; Edwardsiidae. The transcript is spliced from 3 exons. The record is from RefSeq and is a predicted model, not a curated record.